GAUGAACGCUGGCGGCGUGCCUAAUACAUGCAAGUCGAGCGAACAGAUGAGGAGCUUGCUCCUCUGACGUUAGCGGCGGACGGGUGAGUAACACGUGGAUAACCUACCUAUAAGACUGGGAUAACUUCGGGAAACCGGAGCUAAUACCGGAUAAUAUAUUGAACCGCAUGGUUCAAUAGUGAAAGACGGUUUUGCUGUCACUUAUAGAUGGAUCCGCGCCGCAUUAGCUAGUUGGUAAGGUAACGGCUUACCAAGGCAACGAUGCGUAGCCGACCUGAGAGGGUGAUCGGCCACACUGGAACUGAGACACGGUCCAGACUCCUACGGGAGGCAGCAGUAGGGAAUCUUCAGCAAUGGGCGAAAGCCUGACGGAGCAACGCCGAGUGAGUGAUGAAGGUCUUCGGAUCGUAAAACUCUGUUAUUAGGGAAGAACAAAUGUGUAAGUAACUAUGCACGUCUUGACGGUACCUAAUCAGAAAGCCACGGCUAACUACGUG
Molecule: ribosomal RNA, 497 nt
Filed under: uncultured bacterium
Lineage: Bacteria
Description: partial 16S ribosomal RNA
Rfam family: Bacterial small subunit ribosomal RNA
Source: RNAcentral